UUCUUUCUUUCUAAAAAAUCAACAAAAACACAUAGCAUACACCAUAUAUGGCUACAUUAGAAAAAACCAAGACACGUAAACCUCAAUACCUCAGCUAUCUUUAAGUUGGAAUUAGAUUCUUUCGUUUACUUAAUGAUAAGUUAGCAGCAACUAUAUUAUGAAGGUAAUGAACAAACAAUUCUUAUAGUAAAGUGAGAUUGCUCUGAAACCCUGCGUUCUUCGUUCAAGUUGAAUUUGCUUUUCUAAUGGCUAAUUUGCACAAGAGCAGGUGAAAGAGAGAGAAAGACAGGGACUGAAAUAUGAAAUGGAUACCUCCAAAAAUCCAUCAGUAUCA
RNAcentral lists this unclassified non-coding RNA (334 nucleotides) under Hevea brasiliensis (rubber tree). The record is from RNAcentral. Lineage: Eukaryota; Viridiplantae; Streptophyta; Magnoliopsida; Malpighiales; Euphorbiaceae.